This 274-nucleotide ribosomal RNA is filed under the name uncultured bacterium. RNAcentral's name for it is "partial 16S ribosomal RNA". It matches the Rfam family "Bacterial small subunit ribosomal RNA", at positions 523 to 796 of the family's 1533-position model. The record is from RNAcentral.
AUACGGAGGGUGCAAGCGUUGUUCGGAAUUAUUGGGCGUAAAGAGCAUGUAGGCGGACUGUUAAGUCUGGUGUGAAAGCCCGGGGCUCAACCCCGGAAGUGCAUUGGGUACUGGCAGUCUUGAGUAUGGGAGAGGAAAGUGGAAUUCCGAGUGUAGGAGUGAAAUCCGUAGAUAUUCGGAGGAACACCAGUGGCGAAGGCGGCUUUCUGGACCAAUACUGACGCUGAGAUGCGAAAGCGUGGGGAGCGAACAGGAUUAGAUACCCUAGUAGUCC